UUUUAGGGAUCUUGCUCACAUGGUGAUUCUUGUAAAUACCUUCAUCCCAAUAACAGUCAGCAGAAUACAGUUUUGAUUGAUACUAAUCAAUCUUCGACUUUUCAAGAGAAUCAGUCGGUUGGAGGCAGCUCCUUGCCAGAUGUGGUGGUCAGAGAUCAUACGGGAGCGUCAUCGAGCAAUCUACCUCCAUCCCUAAUGCCUCCUCCAGAGGGUGGACAUCCGCGGCUUCCUUUUGUAGGCUGGGGAUAAGUUCAACUUUUUUUGUACGGAUAACUUCCUAGAUCCUAGUAAACUUGGUUUGAACUAGUUGACAUACUUCUAGUUAAGUUUCAUCAAGGCUUGUAGGAUUGUACCUUGUGUUUUAUAGUACUGACUGAAACAUGUUGUUCAUAUCAUUUCCAAAGAGAAUGUGUUGUAUCUUGUACUAUAGUUCCUUUUUCAAGAAAUGCUUGUUUCGUUUGAUU
Molecule: long non-coding RNA, 464 nt
Organism: Pyrus x bretschneideri (Chinese white pear)
Lineage: Eukaryota; Viridiplantae; Streptophyta; Magnoliopsida; Rosales; Rosaceae
Exons: 2
Source: RefSeq, a predicted model, not a curated record